This 315-nucleotide ribosomal RNA is filed under the name uncultured Gymnophrys. RNAcentral describes it as "partial large subunit ribosomal RNA". It matches the Rfam family "Eukaryotic large subunit ribosomal RNA", at positions 40 to 350 of the family's 3401-position model. The record is from RNAcentral. Lineage: Eukaryota; Cercozoa.
AUAUUAAUAAGCGGAGGAAAGGAAACUAACAAGGAUUCCCCUAGUAACGGCGAGUGAAGCGGGAAGAGCUCAACUUGAAAUCGGCGUGCCAAGCGGUACGUCGAGUUGUAACCUAGAGAAGCAUCGUCAGCGAGUGACCUCGGUAUAAAUCUUUGGAACAAGGUAUCAUAGAGGGUGAGAAUCCCGUCUUUGACCGGGAGUUCGCCGCGUACGACGUGCUUUCAACGAGUCGAGUUGUUUGGGAAUGCAGCUCAAAACGGGUGGUAAAUUUCAUCUAAAGCUAAAUAUCCACGAGAGACCGAUAGCGCACAAGUA